RNAcentral lists this microRNA precursor (98 nucleotides) under Brassica oleracea var. oleracea. Its description in RNAcentral is "MIR9563 microRNA precursor family". It matches the Rfam family "MIR9563 microRNA precursor family". Lineage: Eukaryota; Viridiplantae; Streptophyta; Magnoliopsida; Brassicales; Brassicaceae. The record is from Rfam by way of RNAcentral.
GGAAUAUAAAAACUCGUCUCUUAAUUUUUAACUAAAAAAGCUAAGAACCGGCUCUUAACUUUUUUAGUUAAAAGUUAAGAGACGGGUUCUUAUAUUCC